Molecule: long non-coding RNA, 659 nt
Organism: Poecile atricapillus (Black-capped chickadee)
Lineage: Eukaryota; Metazoa; Chordata; Aves; Passeriformes; Paridae
Exons: 3
Source: RefSeq, a predicted model, not a curated record
AGAGUAAUUAAUUACCUGGGACUGCUGUGCUCCCAGGUGAAUUGCUCCCAGCUUCAAGUUCCACUGGUUUACUGGGAUUUGGAACAAAAAAACAGGAGUCUGCUGCUCCCUGUACCAGGGGCAGACCUCAAUCACAGAAAAACUCUGGCAUAUUUCAUGGUGAGGAACUUGAAAUACAGGAGGAAAGAACACACACAGAGAGCCAGCAAUUCCACAGUCUAUGCAGAACUGGGGAAAGAAAACAGCACCUGCACCUCCCAGUGUCCUCCUGCUUAGUUCUGUUGGCUCAGCAGAGCUUGGAGCAAGUCAGUCAAAUCAUGUGGAGGAUGAAGAACCUGUUUUUCCAUGAACUCUCCCUCCUGCAUUGACUUGUAGCUAGAGGAUAAGAUUGCUUCCUACAUGCAACCUCAAAUAUUGGUGGAAAAAUCACAUCUGUCGCCCUGAAAACUCAGCUUCUGAGCUUGCUGACAUGGUUUUCUAAAGACUUUCCCAGGACAGUAACUGUAAACAUAGAUAUGUGUACAUUCUUUCUGUUACACGUCUUGUGAUGGGCAUCUCUCAUAGCCAGUGCAGUGAGAAAAUGUUAUCCUGACCAUCCAAUCCCUGGCUGUGGUCAGGAGCCUAUAAAUCCUGGGGAAAAAAAUAAACUCUCUCUUCUC